RNAcentral lists this ribosomal RNA (253 nucleotides) under uncultured bacterium. RNAcentral's name for it is "partial 16S ribosomal RNA". It matches the Rfam family "Bacterial small subunit ribosomal RNA", at positions 524 to 776 of the family's 1533-position model. The record is from RNAcentral.
UACGGGGGGGGCAAGCGUUGUUCGGAAUUACUGGGCGUAAAGGGCGCGUAGGCGGCCUUCUAAGUCGGACGUGAAAUCCCUCGGCUUAACCGAGGAACUGCGUCCGAUACUGAAAGGCUUGAAUCCGGGAGAGGGAUGUGGAAUUCCAGGUGUAGCGGUGAAAUGCGUAGAUAUCUGGAGGAACACCGGUGGCGAAGGCGGCAUCCUGGACCAAUUCUGACGCUGAGGAGCGAAAGCCAGGGGAGCAAACGGG